Long non-coding RNA from Jaculus jaculus (lesser Egyptian jerboa), 2222 nucleotides. RefSeq lists it as uncharacterized. NCBI's taxonomy places the organism in Eukaryota, Metazoa, Chordata, Mammalia, Rodentia, Dipodidae. The transcript has 3 exons. The record is from RefSeq and is a predicted model, not a curated record.
CCUGGAAAUGAUGUAAGACGCAGCCACUCCUCUGUUAGAGCUACAACCAAACAAUGCUCGGGCUAUCCACAGCAGCUGCUCUCCAAAUGUCAGCGCCAGCCCAGUGGAAAAAACCUGAAACCCACAAGCUUCCAGAAGGACGGUGGCGUGCCUUGCCUUUUCCCAGCCGCAUUUUCCCUGAGCGCUCUCGGGAACCUGGCAACAGGUCUGUGGACCACAGCUGGGAGCUGCUGUUAACCAGAGGACCUGGCAUCCUUUCCUCCUGCUUCUGUAAACGCUAACCAGAACCUGAGAGGUUCAGAUCAAAGUGCUGUUGAGUCAUGCAGUCACACAAACGACAGCCGUGACAGUUUCAUCACUGAAGAUUAACUUCCAUUUGUUCCAUUACUUUAUGAAGUGAUUUCUGCCACUGAGUCAGGCACAUCACUUCCUCUUAGACUUAGGCAUUCCCUCCCCCUCCAACAUGUGUAAUGAUGUGUGUUUUUCAAAAUGUGGCCCAGCCAGGUCUGUAGGUCUUCCUGGGUUGAAUGGACUGUUUACAGAAAGGGAAGAUUCAGGGGCCCAAGGUCAGCGUUACAGAAUUAUAUAAGGUUUCCUGUUUGGGCAGCUGGUCUACCAACUGCUCAGAUUAGGUCAGACUGUUUCCAUGCCAGCUGGGUGUGGUGACACACACCUGUAAUCCCCGUGCUCAGAGGUAGAAGCGGGAGGAUCAGAAAUUGAAAGUAAUCUUCAGCCACAUGGGCAGUUUGAGGCUAACCUGGGACACAUGAGACCCUGUCUCAAACCAGACAGCAUUACCAGGAGUCUGGGAAGGAAACAGUGCCCAGAAUAGGAAAGGAGAUUAUUCUUUGAAGGUUUUCAUCAAUUAGCCUUUACUGGUGACCAUAUGUCACUUCUCAGCACUCUGGUCCUAUAUUCUAUGCUAGGUGAAAUUUUUCCCUCUAGCCAGAUGCUAAUUGGGCAUUAUUGACUGUCUUAUCAUUUACACCACUGCAGUUCUUAGAAUAGGUGUGUCCCUGUAGUCACACCAUGGUGAAUGCUUGUUGUUUUUAUUAUUGUAUUUAUUUACUUGAGAGAGAGAGAGAAUGGAUGUGCCAGCACCUCCAGCCACUGCAGUGAACAGAUGCAUAUACCACCUAGUGCAUCUGGCUUACGUGGGUCCUGGGGAAUCAAGCCUGGGUCCUUCGGCUUUGCAGGCAAGCGCCUUAACUGCUAAGUCAUCUUUCUAGCCUAUGAAUGCUUGUUAUAUGAAGGAAUGAGGAAAGAUUUCCUGGAGAAAAAGGGAGAAGGACUAAUAGCAAAGAAAAAUCGUGAGGGCAGAAGUAAAACGAGUAUCUCAGCCAAGUCUUUCUCUGUGGACUCGGAUGUCACCAUCCAGUCAGCCCUGUAGCCAUAGGUUCACUUCGGCUUUUACCAACUGUCGAUGGCAAAUAUUUGGGAAGAAUAACUGAGCCGAUGUUGAAUGUUUCCAAACUUUUCUCUUGUUCUUUUUUUUUUUUUUCUUCCCUAACCAGUACAGUAUCACAACUGUUUGCCUGGCAUGGUCAUAUUGCAGUUGGACAGAUAUUUGGGAAAGAUGCUGCCUCCUGUUUCCCUGGUAACAUUUAAAAGAAAAGAGUCACUUCCCUGACCACAGAAACAGUCCUCUGGUCCUUGGUGGAGCCUGUCACUCACCUGAUCAAAAGACCACUCCCCACCUAUAAGACGUGCCAAAAAGGUGGCAGGAACAGUUAGUCCCUCGGUGAGAAUGUGCACUAUGCUGCACAGAGGCCCCUCCCCUGAGGCAGUUGCUUGAAGAACCUUAUUGAGGAGCCUGCCUGCUUGAGGUCGAACUCAUAAUGCAUAACUUUACCUUUUCUUCCUCUUUCUUUUUUUUUUUUUUGUUUGUUUGUUCAUUUUUCAAGGUAGGGUUUUGCUUUAGCUCAGGCUGACCUGGAAUUCGCUAUGUAGUUUCAGGGUGGCCUUGAACUCAUGGCUAUCCUUCUACCUCUGCCUCCCGAGUGCUGGGAUUAAAGGCGUGCGCCACCACACCAUGCCCUCUUCCCUUUCUUCCUGUGUUUCCCGUUCCGGUUCCUGGGGAAAUCUUCAGCAUGCUCUCCUGACACUUUGGAGCUUCUUCACCCAAAGCACAUGGAUAGAGUUUGUUUUCAGUGGCAAGAGGACAUGGAGUGCCCAUCUUCUCUCUCUGUUUGCAACUAAAUAAAAAUAACUUAACAAUGCUA